RNAcentral lists this ribosomal RNA (834 nucleotides) under uncultured bacterium. RNAcentral describes it as "bacterial SSU rRNA". It matches the Rfam family "Bacterial small subunit ribosomal RNA", at positions 522 to 1352 of the family's 1533-position model. The record is from RNAcentral.
UAUACGUAGGGUGGGAGCGUUGUCCGGAAUUACUGGGCGUAAAGAGCUCGUAGGUGGUUUGUCGCGUUGUUCGUGAAAUCUCACGGCUUAACCGUGAGCGUGCGAGCGAUACGGGCAGACUAGAGUACUGCAGGGGAGACUGGAAUUCCUGGUGUAGCGGUGGAAUGCGCAGAUAUCAGGAGGAACACCGGUGGCGAAGGCGGGUCUCUGGGCAGUAACUGACGCUGAGGAGCGAAGGCGUGGGGAGCGAACAGGAUUAGAUACCCUGGUAGUCCACGCCGUAAACGGUGGGUACCAGGUGUGGGUUUCCUUCCUUGGGAUCCGUGCCGUAGCUAACGCAUUAAGUACCCCGCCUGGGGAGUACGGCCGCAAGGCUAAAACUCAAAGGAAUUGACGGGGGCCCGCACAAGCGGCGGAGCAUGUGGAUUAAUUCGAUGCAACGCGAAGAACCUUACCUGGGUUUGACAUGCACAGGACGCGUCUAGAGAUAGGCGUUCCCUUGUGGCCUGUGUGCAGGUGGUGCAUGGCUGUCGUCAGCUCGUGUCGUGAGAUGUUGGGUUGAGUCCCGCAACGAGCGCAACCCUUGUCUCAUGUUGCCAGCGGGUAAUGCCGGGGACUCGUGAGAAACUGUCCGGGGUCAACAUCGGAGGAAGGUGGGGAUGACGUCAAGUCAUCAUGCCCCUUAUGUCCAGGGCUUCACACAUGCUACAAUGGCCGGUACAAAGGGCUGCGAUGCCGCAAGGUUAAGCGAAUCCUUUUAAAGCCGGUCUCAGUUCGGAUCGGGGUCUGCAACUCGACCCCGUGAAGUCGGAGUCGCUAGUAAUCGCAGAUCAG